CCUGUCUUUAGAUGCUCAGGUCGUAUGCCACUAACAGCUGUUCUGUAAUCCGUCACCUCUUCUGUAGGCUUGACAUACUUGUCAUAAAUGCACUUUCCAAAGAGGUUCACGAUGGACACACGGGCCACAAUGCUGUCUUCGCCGCUGGGUCCCACUCCCACCAUCUCACAGUCCAUAGCUACAGCUCUUGUAAGACUGAAAAGAAAGACAACUCAGUGACACAUCUCUUUACAGGGACCACAAAGCGAAGCUGCGAGGUCACACAUUGAUACAAACAGAAAAAACUCAGCGGUUUGACUGUCAGCAGACUCAGAUGUCAGCUUAAACUUUGUCUGCAUCUAUUAGAAGGUAAUCUUGAUGCCUCUGCUGCUGUGCUUCCUGCUGGAACACCACUCACCCUCCAGAAGACUUCUCUUUAACCAGCACCUGCUCCACAGACUGUUUGGAUUGGCCUGCUUCAAGUCCCAGUUUCCUUCUAGCAACUUCUGCUGCUUCAGGUCCUAUUGCUGCUUCGAUGUCUUUUGGAUCAACGUCAUCAAACCAGAUGUCAGCCCUGCAAGGAGUCAUUGUUUCAGAGGAAGAAAAGAUUCAUAUCAAGCCUGUCAGAAGCAGAGAUACGGCCCUGCUGAAGGAUCUUGGCUUCUCCAGUCCCCACAUUCUCUUCAGAAGCCCUGGAAUGGG
Molecule: long non-coding RNA, 681 nt
Filed under: Gallus gallus (chicken)
Lineage: Eukaryota; Metazoa; Chordata; Aves; Galliformes; Phasianidae
Description: long non-coding RNA NONGGAT003128
Source: RNAcentral